GCUUUCUCUUAUGAAACGUGAAGGGCAACGUGUCAUUCUGGGAGAGUCACUGCAAUUUCUCCAAAUAUAAACCUUGCCCCUCUAUGGGUCUUCAUGUGCAAGGUCAGUUGUGUCCAUUGAGCAUGUUUGUAUUUAGAGGGAAGGAAGUUAGGCAGGAGCCACCAAAGAAGUUUGAGAUAAGACCCCUGCCCUGUUCCAGGGCUUAUGCCCAGGACUGUAGGGAGCAAAGGAAACGCUUAAAACACUGGGAACUAUAAGGAAUUGAAUGAAAAGGUUCUUACGGGGUGGGUGGCUGAAAAUGGCUUAUUGAGUGGAGACAUGAAAGUCGGAAUCUGCACAGAUGCAAAAGAAAAGAGAUGGUGUUCUAGAAGGGCCCAGAGCAUGAGAAGGGCAUGAAGUGGCCAUAAUGGUGGUGUGGUGGGAAAGCAGAGAGAUAAGCAUGGGUGGCCAGAAGGGCUGGGGGCUGCAGUGAGGCUGAGAUAUGGCCAGGUGAGGGAAGUUGAAGAAAGUGGUCUUUCACUGUCUCUGUAAAGGGAAACACUCUGAAGUGUGUCUCUACAUGGAAGCAAUCAAUGAGAGCAGAGGAUUAGAAGGUUUGGCCAGGAUGGCUGAGGGAGAGAUGGGGCUCAGAAGGUCAGUUCUGGAGUCACAGUGGUGAAGUAGCUGAGAAGAGAUUGACACUUGGGCCAGGGGUGUGCAGUGGGUCUGACUGGAUGUGAGGGGAGCAAGGCAGCUCCAGCUCUUCUGCAAUAGCUGUUUUGGGGACUUAGUAUGGAACGAGAAGAGAAUAUUGGCUGGGCUGGUUUGGCCAUUGUUGUCCAGUUAAUGCAAAGUGGCUUGCUGCUUGUGAGAAUGACCCAGAGGAUAGUGCUGGGUGAAAUAUGCUUUUGGUGCCUCCUAAUCAACUUGAAGGUGUAGCAUCUGUGGCUGUUUGCUUCUGGUUGUUUGUUUUAUAUAGUAAACGGUGAUGGCCAAGAACUGAAGGUCAGCGCACAUGCCAUGAUUUUGAUUUGGUUCGGUGAGUGAGUUUUUGAUUCUUCAUGGGAAUCCAAUUUGCAGAAAUUUUAAUUGCCAACUCUUUCAUUAGAAAGACUCAUGUGUUUACUUUUUGUUUUUCAGAGCAUGUAACUGAACAAUGAUGACUUCUGAGCACUCGAAAUUGUGAAUGAGGAACUUGCACUAAGCUUUAGCUAUUAUAAGGAGACAUCUUCCUUAAGAAUUUCCUAACCAGAGUCUAAUUACUCUAAAAUACCUCCUUUGUCUUAGUUCACAGAACAGUGGAGGGUUAGAAAGUGUUGGUGUGUGUCAAAAAUCAGCAUGUGUUUGGUGUAUUUAUGUGUGUGUGUGUGUAUGUGUGUAAUGGUGGUGGUGGUCACACUAGCAACAGUGAAAUGAAAUAAUUAAUAAUCAGAGAGAAAAGGACAAGAUAAAAGCCAAAUAACUCAUGAGGGCACUUCUGCAUGGCAUAAUCACUGAGUUUCACAGUGAUCACCUUAAGUUUUGAUGAGACACUUAUGUUAUUUUCUAGAUAUUCUGUUAAGGAGACUAGGAAGGACAUAACACUUUUCAGAAUUAUUUCCAUCUUUAUGAGGGAUAAUGAGCUCAAAUGUCUUCCAAAGCCAGUGAGUGGAUAAUGUUAUUAGUGAAGUAGACCAGGCAUAUAUAAUAAAAGGGGUGGUGUGUCCAAAGACAUGGAAAUCUAGUUUAAAAAAUGCUCUUAUGCCAACAGACACACGUAUGCCAGCUAGAUUCUGCCAGUAGGCUGCCACUGUGAUGUGCCUAGUCUAAGUGGUUAAAUUUAAGUUUAAGGGCUGGAAGCCUUGUGAAAAGUGCUGAAUGAGGAAGAGUUGGCUUCCUAGAAACAGAUAACCUCGCCCUGAAUUAAAAAUAUUUAGCAGAACUUGCCUAGCAGAGAAAAUGUCAAACUUUCUCUUGUCUUCGGUGCAUGAGGCCAGCAAGCAGAUGACUGAACGGAAGCAUAAGUGAGUCAUUUCUUUAAGAAGUCUCUGACUUAGCAGGGGUAUUAACAAUGGGCAUUGAGGAAUUUUCCCUCUCAUUUUCUAGAAUUUCUGUCUUUUUCUGAGCAAACUAGGAAACAAAACUCAAAACAUCUCAAAGGGCCACUGUAAACAUGAUCAUUCCUUUGUCCAGAGAAUCCCUACUUUCUGAAGUCAAUUAAUUAUUCCUUAAUUCAAAUCAACCCAGAGAUUUCAAGGAUAUCCCUGAUUUAAUUCCAUUUGCUUUGGGCAAUUCAGAAUUGCAGGAGAGUUGAAUGUCUCUUAGCAGAUCCUUUGCUGUAUUUGGGGAAUCAAGGCAAUGUCUGCCAGUGGCACUCACAGCUACCCUUCUGGUUUGUUUUCACUGUCACCAGUCCCAAAGUUGUGCUUCUUAUUGGUUUUCAAGUGAGUUUGUUUUCACAAGUCAAUUUGUGUGUGAUGGGAUCAGAUAAGCCCUUCCUACAGGAAAGAACAACAUUCUGAAGUCUGACUUGCUUUUAGAAAUCCUUGGCCCUAACUCAGAGUUGGAGACAUGUUUAUAUUUGGGGCUAAAAAUGACCAACUGAGACUUGGUAAACAAGUGAAUGAACAUGACACUGGACCCAAAGGAGAAGAAUUGAAGCUUUGAUAAAUGGCAACUUGAUUUGGAAAAGAGAUGCCUUUAUUUAAACACCAUCAUAGCCAAGUGGCCUGGGAUGAAGACUUUGCAAUGGGUCUUUGAGCAGACCACAUGAGGUAUGGCUCUGAAUUGCAAAGGAUCCUUUCAUUUGCCACUAAAUCAGUCCUUUAUCAAAACAGCACCAGCCUCUGAAAGAAGGUUUUCAUGUUGAAAAUAGAAUUUACUUGCAAAAAAAAACUGGUUGAAUCUAUUAUAUAACUCAGAAGAAUUUUCCUUUACGUCAACACUGCUGUGUUUGAACUAGCCUUGUGGUCCCUUAAACAUGGAAGGAUUCGACUUAGCUUCAUUCCUUCUUGAUCUUGAAUGCUGAAGAAACCACAGUCUUAUUGGGGUCUCCACAAUGAACAGAAAUCUGCGGUUUCUACCUCUGAAUUCUUCCCCCACCCCCAGUCAGCCAGAGACAAGCAACCCAGCCCUCUCUCACGGAAGUGGACCAAAGGAAGGUGUACAAAAUGCCACUCCUCAUGGGAAAUCCUACUCUGGGGAGGUCUUACCAUGAAAUUGGUACUAUUUCUGUGGAGACAAGGCACUUCAGUGAGAGGAACUUGCAGGGUGGAAGGUGCUUAAUUCUCUCUGCAUCACCUGCUUCUUCCCCAGCCCCAGGGCACUUACCUUCCAUCUUGGGAGCAGGAGGGAAGGGAGCAAGAGCUCCACCUCAGUUGGGUUCCCCCCUUUGGGAAUGCUCCAACAUUUCCAAAGGAAGCAAGCACACCCAUUCCCACCAACUGUGUUGGCUUAAGUUCUGUACUGACCAACCAGGAAGACUGCUAACAGAACAUGGAGGGGUAGAGAGAAAGGUUGGUUAGAGUACAGCUAAAGUUGAACCUCAUAGCUCUGGCCGGGACAUGGGGAUUCAUAUGGGCUGAAGCAAUUGGGUCAGAAUAAAGAACAAAAAUCUGUCCUCAAGAUAACUGGGUACCUGUGCAAAUUUGUCCCAUUUUGGCUGUAAUUUGGGCAGGUCACUGAAACAAGUGCUGGGGGAGAACUCUUAUUCUGGAAUGGUGGGUGACUUUAAACAGUUUGACAUUAUAUCCUAAUGUUUUAGGAACACUUGAACACCCUAGGACCAAGAAAUUCCAAAAGAUACAAACAAGAAUGUUUUUAUCAGCACUUUUUGUAAUAUCCUCAGACUGGGAAUUACCUGAAUAUUCAUUCACAGUCAAAUACAGUCAUGUAAUAAAAUACUAUGCAACAGUGAAAAGGCCAUGAACUACAAUUGCAUGCAGUAACAUACUAUAACACUGACCCUAAGCAACUCCAAUUUAGAAGACCUAGAGUGGCUAUUUGCAUUUUCCAUGUUGAGACAAACUUGGCCUGUUUCGUGGGACUGUCGUGAAGGAUCAAGUGUGACAGUGUGUGGUGAAGAUGCUGCAUAAACUGGACAGAGAUUACUGUUCUGUUACGAUGACAACUCAAAGGUAAGAUCAGAGUCUGCUUGUGGAGCGACUGAAUGAACAGGUAUUGAUUCCUGGUAAACUUCAUGAAGUCUCAAAUUUUGUGUCAGCAUCCGCUUCCUGAGUAUCCAGCUUGCGACUCUGUGACUGAGAUGUCACUGAUGCAGGAUAAGCAGAAGCAGUGUGUGUUGUUCUGGGGCCCAGCCUUCAAAAACCUCCUGGGAAGAUCCUCACGCUUUCUCCGUCAGCUCUCUGGAUACAGACUUCAGUGAUGCCCUAGGGCAUGGUGGAGCCACAAGAUGGAAAUAGCCUACGGAUCAUGAGGAAGGGAGAUGCACCUACCCCUCACUUGAACACCCUUCCAGAACCAUUCAGAGAAUUGGAAAUGAGCUUCUUUUGUACAAAGCCACUGAGUUUGGGGCAUCUACUUGUUACUUUAGUCUGUCCUGACUUGUCUUCUUUUCUCAUUUGCCUCUUCAGAUGCAAAUAGAGGGGGUGGCUAUUGGCCAGGUGUGACUGGAAGCCCACGUGCUCGCUGUGCCUAGACUCAAGCAGGCCAGUGGUUACCACAGAACAAGAGAGAACAAGGCUUGGGGAGGCCUUUCUGUGCAGAGAUCCACAGUCUCUUAAAAUGUGGCUCAAUGCCACCAGAUUUGUCCAUCAAAAGGCAACUGCUUGCUUUUAGGAGCAAGAAUCAUGGGAUAGAGAGAAAGUAAGUUCUUAUUCCACUCCCUGAGUGGAGAGCAGAAUUAAAGGCCUUUUUAUGUGGCUCAAGGUUGGAAUGUAGGAAAAAGAGCAUGAUUCCCCUCACAAUGGAAUCAUCCAAUCCUCUUGUUAUUGUGUAGAGAGGGGUGGAUAGAUAGAGGGUAUAGUCAUGAUAUAAAAAUGGAUGGAUUGUAUACAGAUAAUGGGUAGAUGGAGAUGGUAGACAGGUGAUGGAUGAUAGACAAAUAUAAGUAGAUGAUAUUUAAUACUGGAUAGAGGGCAGGUAGGUAGAGAGGAAAUUGAGGUUCAGAGGCACUAAGGUAUGUUCCCAGGGUCACACAGGUCACACAUUAGUCAUAGAGACAAUUCAACUCUUAUCUCACAGGUGGAAUUCACAACCCAAUUCUGCAUUCUUUCCUCUCCUGAGGAUGGCAAUGAACAUGUUCCAUUUGCACCAUACACAGUCCUAUACAAUGUUUUGCUUACUUUUGUUUUAUUAGGCUUAGAAUUAAUCCACCUGUACUCUAAUUUUAACUUAGGUUUUGUCGUCUUGUAGGGUUUUACAAGAUCUUUUUAUUUUUUCUUUCUUUUUUGAAUGGUGAUGGUGGAGUAGGCAUUUAAAAGCUGCAAUCCCUAAAUUCUUGCAUGUUCAAACAUGAUUUUUUGUUUGAAGGACAACUUGGGCGGUACACAAUUUCUUAGUAACACUUUUGCCUGGAACCCUUGGAAUGGAUUUAUUACAGCAUAUCCAGAGGAGACACCUAAGGUUGAACAAAUUGUGUUGGACAGAGGAGAAACCUUCAGUUCCUGGCUGUUUUAUUUUGACUGUGUAUUGUUGGCAGUGGAGGGUGUUGAAGGUUUGUGUGCAAGGCAGUGGUAAUUAUUGUAGAUGGAUUUGUGAAGGAGGAGACUGGUCACAGAGAGGCCAGAUCAGAGCUACCACAUAAUGGUUAGGUGGCCAAGGCCUGAACUAGGGCAGUGGCAGUGUUAAUAGAUACACUGUGGAUGCAGAACUGUUAGAGUUCAGCAAGGUUAUCAAAGGGACAAGGACAAAGGGGGAGGGGAGCUGCUAAAAAAAAAAACAACGAUGCCUGAGGUUAAACUGAGGGCAAUUAGGAAGAUGGUAUCAUUUAUAGAUCCACAGAAAGAAGGUGGAGGAAGGAAUGGAAAAGGGAAUGGGAAGAGGAAAAGAAGGGAAAGAGGAGAUCCAAGUGAAGACGUUUUGGAGGAGCAGGUAGAAGCCUCAGUGGAGCAGUCCAGAUACAGCUGAAAUCUGGGGCUGGAGUUCAGAGAAGAGGUUAGGGUGAAGGAUAGCGUGAAGGUAGGAGUCUCUAAGUGGGAUAAGUAUGCCCAAUGUAAGUUUCUUUCCAAAGGUAAAUCCUUAGUCAUUUUCUGGAGGGUGUUGUGAAAACAGCCUCUGACAUUCACUUGUUAACCUCAAGUUUCUUCAAGGCAGUGAGAGAAUCGCAACCUCUGCAGAGUGAACAACCCUGGGCUCCUAGACUUUCCUUGAGAUCUCAUUUUCCUUGAGAUCUCAUUUCACAUGUUUUUUUUUUCUUUUUUCUUGAUUAAUAUUUGCUAGAAGUUUAUUGAUUUUUUUCAAGCUAUAAAAAGAAACUUUUCUUGGGUUAAUGACUCAAUUAUACCAUCUUUAUAUUUCCUUACUCGAUUUUGUAUUGAUGCUUUUCUUUCUGUUUUUCUUCGAUACCUGCCUACUCACUUUCAUUGAACUUUUAUUUGUUGAACUCAUUAAUUUUAUCUUUAGUAGUACAAAUAUUUAAAGCUGUAGAUCUCCUCACACAUACUGCUUUCUCCAUAUGCCAGGUGGUCAGAGAUACAGCAUUUUCACUGACAUGAUUUUCUAAUUGGUCAUUAUUAUAGACAACUUUUCUCUUGGCUGAGAAAAACUUGUUAUGUGUACUUUAUUUUAAAAUUCCACAUAUAUCCAUCUUUUUUUUUUUUUAAGAAUAAACAAAGAAGCAGGGGGAAGCAGAUACAGGAAAUAUCUAAAGUUACAUAGCCUUUGUAAGAUUUGAGACCAGAACCCAGGUUGAUUGACUCUGGUCUAAUCAGUGAGAAAAUGUUUUUCUACUUCUAAAGUAAUUGUUCAAGCUUGAAAGUUUCUGGAAAACUCUUCGGUGAAAUGUGAAAUGGAGAAUUGCAACGUUGGGAAGUCAGAUCCUGCCUUGGCUGCUUGAGAGCUUUUUGACCUUGAGCAAGCCUCUAGGUCUCUAGGUCUCUUUGAGUUUCAACAUCAUUACUUGCAAUAUGGAAAAAAUAACAUUAAUUUUAUAUUGUAAAGAUGAAACAUCAAAUUGUUACAUAAAAUGCCUCAUAUACCACAAGUGACCCAUAAAUAUUCAUAUCUGCUCCUUUAAUUAACAUCCCAUGCUUUAAUAUAUAUAUUUAUAUAAUAUAUACAUUAUAUAUAUAAUAUUUAACUCUGCAGAGGUUGCAAUUCUGUCACUGCUUUGAAGAAACUUGAGCUUAAUAAGUGAAUUUCAGAGGCUAUUUUCACAACAUCCUCCAGAAAAUGACUAAGGAUUUGCCUUUGGAAAGAAACUUACAUUGAGCACACUGAUCCCACUUGAAGACUGAAGGUAAUAGACAAAUGGUUUUAAAAAAUUAAAAAGUAAAAGAAUGCAUUAUCUCAGUGCUAACUACUAUUAAUGAAGUAUAAUAAAAUAUUUGAGAACUUA
This is a non-coding RNA of Ictidomys tridecemlineatus (thirteen-lined ground squirrel), 7474 nucleotides long. The record is from RefSeq and is a predicted model, not a curated record. NCBI's taxonomy places the organism in Eukaryota, Metazoa, Chordata, Mammalia, Rodentia, Sciuridae.